CUUCUCCCAGAUGUGUGCUUUG
RNAcentral lists this non-coding RNA (22 nucleotides) under Arabidopsis thaliana (thale cress). Lineage: Eukaryota; Viridiplantae; Streptophyta; Magnoliopsida; Brassicales; Brassicaceae. The record is from RNAcentral.